Molecule: ribosomal RNA, 749 nt
Filed under: Bacillus sp. (in: firmicutes)
Lineage: Bacteria; Bacillati; Bacillota; Bacilli; Caryophanales; Bacillaceae
Description: bacterial SSU rRNA
Rfam family: Bacterial small subunit ribosomal RNA
Source: RNAcentral
GAUUGAGAGCUUGCUCUCAAGAAGUUAGCGGCGGACGGGUGAGUAACACGUGGGUAACCUGCCCAUAAGACUGGGAUAACUCCGGGAAACCGGGGCUAAUACCGGAUAACAUUUUGAACUGCAUGGUUCGAAAUUGAAAGGCGGCUUCGGCUGUCACUUAUGGAUGGACCCGCGUCGCAUUAGCUAGUUGGUGAGGUAACGGCUCACCAAGGCAACGAUGCGUAGCCGACCUGAGAGGGUGAUCGGCCACACUGGGACUGAGACACGGCCCAGACUCCUACGGGAGGCAGCAGUAGGGAAUCUUCCGCAAUGGACGAAAGUCUGACGGAGCAACGCCGCGUGAGUGAUGAAGGCUUUCGGGUCGUAAACUCUGUUGUUAGGGAAGAACAAGUGCUAGUUGAAUAAGCUGGCACCUUGACGGUACCUAACCAGAAAGCCACGGCUAACUACGUGCCAGCAGCCGCGGUAAUACGUAGGUGGCAAGCGUUAUCCGGAAUUAUUGGGCGUAAAGCGCGCGCAGGUGGUUUCUUAAGUCUGAUGUGAAAGCCCCGGCUCACCGUGGAGGUCAUUGGAAACUGGGAGACUUGAGUGCAGAAAGGAAAGUGGAUUCCAUGUGUAGCGGUGAAUGCGUAGAGAUAUGGAGGAACACCAGUGGCGAAGGCGACUUUCUGGUCUGUAACUGACCUGAGGCGCGAAGCGUGGGGAGCAACAGGAUAGAUACCUGGUAGUCCCGCCGUAACGAUGAUGCU